RNAcentral lists this ribosomal RNA (360 nucleotides) under uncultured bacterium. RNAcentral describes it as "bacterial SSU rRNA". It matches the Rfam family "Bacterial small subunit ribosomal RNA", at positions 29 to 419 of the family's 1533-position model. The record is from RNAcentral.
AACGAACGCUGGCGGCAGGCCUAACACAUGCAAGUCGAACGCUCCGCAAGGAGAGUGGCAGACGGGUGAGUAACACGUGGGAAUCUUCCUGUUGGUUCGGAAUAGCUCAGGGAAACUUGGGGUAAUACCGGAUAAGCCCGAGAGGGGAAAGGAUUAUCGCCGACAGAUGAGCCCGCGUCCGAUUAGCUAGUUGGUGAGGUAAUGGCUCACCAAGGCGACGAUCAGUAGCUGGCUGAGAGGAUGACCAGCCACACUGGGACUGAGACACGGCCCAGACUCCUACGGGAGGCAGCAGUGGGGAAUAUUGGACAAUGGGCGCAAGCCUGAUCCAGCCAUGCCGCGUGAGUGACGAAGGUCUUC